AGAGUUUGAUCCUGGCUCAGAUUGAACGCUGGCGGCAUGCCUAACACAUGCAAGUCGAACGGCAGCACGGUGGUAGCAAUACCAUGGGUGGCGAGUGGCGGACGGGUGAGUAAUGCAUCGGGACCUACCUGAACGUGGGGGAUAACGUAGGGAAACUUACGCUAAUACCGCAUACGUCCUACGGGAGAAAGCAGGGGACCUUCGGGCCUUGCGCGGUCAGACGGACCGAUGUUCGAUUAGCUAGUUGGUGAGGUAAUGGCUCACCAAGGCGACGAUCGAUAGCUGGUCUGAGAGGAUGAUCAGCCACACUGGAACUGAGACACGGUCCAGACUCCUACGGGAGGCAGCAGUGGGGAAUAUUGGACAAUGGGCGCAAGCCUGAUCCAGCGAUGCCGCGUGUGUGAAGAAGGCCUUCGGGUUGUAAAGCACUUUUAUCGGGAGCGAAAUACCAUCGGUUAAUACCCGGUGGGGCUGACGGUACCCGAGGAAUAAGCACCGGCUAACUUCGUGCCAGCAGCCGCGGUAAU
RNAcentral lists this ribosomal RNA (527 nucleotides) under uncultured bacterium. RNAcentral describes it as "bacterial SSU rRNA". It matches the Rfam family "Bacterial small subunit ribosomal RNA", at positions 8 to 524 of the family's 1533-position model. The record is from RNAcentral.